RNAcentral lists this ribosomal RNA (253 nucleotides) under uncultured bacterium. RNAcentral's name for it is "partial 16S ribosomal RNA". It matches the Rfam family "Bacterial small subunit ribosomal RNA", at positions 524 to 776 of the family's 1533-position model. The record is from RNAcentral.
UACGUAGGGUCCGAGCGUUGUCCGGAAUUAUUGGGCGUAAAGGGCUCGUAGGCGGUUUGUCACGUCGGGCGUGAAAACUCAGGGCUCAACCCUGAGCGUGCGUUCGAUACGGGCAGACUAGAGGUAUGCAGGGGAGAACGGAAUUCCUGGUGUAGCGGUGGAAUGCGCAGAUAUCAGGAGGAGCACCGGUGGCGAAGGCGGUUCUCUGGGCAUUACCUGACGCUGAGGAGCGAAAGCAUGGGGAGCGAACAGG